AGAAAUAAAUCAUUUUAAGCUACUUUUCCAGCCAGUCAGAGGAAAUCCACUUCAAUCAGGGCGGCCUACCUCCCGCCCGAAAACAGAACUCGGCUGCUAACGACGCCCUAAGUUUCCACGUGUUAUAGGCGACAAAUGACAAGUAGAGCAAACACAAAUCGCGUUGUUUUAAUCCUGUGAAUGAACAUACGCCUACUACAACAGUGAACUCUGGAACGUAGUGAGAGAUUGGAAGCCUUGACCAUCUGACCUCUCCCUUAUUGGAGGCAAUGAGGAGACCGUGUAGUAAUUCCACAUCGCUCCUCCAGAUACAAGGGGAGAAAAGCCAUAUGUCAGAAACCAAGAGUCACAGUUCGCACAAGAGAACUGACCGGAAUGUAUACGACCAUUACAAAGGAACAGACAAGGAGAGUUCGUAUAGGUAACUUUCUCUCGGAUCCAUUUCCAGUGCACAAUGACCUAAAACAGGGGGAUGCUUUGUCCCCAAUGCUUUUUAAUUUUGCUCUAUAGCGUGUCAUCAGGAAGGGCUCGAAUUGAAUGGUCUGCACCAGGUAUUUGCCCGUGCUGAUGAUGUCAAUUUGCUGGGGGAUGGUGUGGGUACCUUAACCAAGAAUCCAGAAACUCUCCUACAGGCUACCAAGGAAGUUAAUGCAGACAAUACUAAAUACAUGGGCGUAAUACGGGACCAACAUCAGCAACAACGGCACAACAUAAUCAUAAGCAACACAUCAUUUGAAAAUGUUUAAAAAUUUAAGUAUCUGGGAACAACAAUAACAAACAGAAAUGAGGUCCAAGAUGAAAUUAAGAGUAGAAUAAAUUAGGAAGGUGGUCUGUGAGGAUGGUAAAUGGAUGGAGUUGGCUUCGUCAGAGUACGAACUAAAUCCUGGAGUUGUGUGGAAAUGAGGAAUCACGUAACGACUUUCUAUGAAUGACUUCUCUACUGAAACGAACUUGAAUGAAUUAGCUCCGACCAACAAAUUAGUCCGACCCAUCACCACUGCCUUCUUACCGGCCACGACCUAGUUCCUACUGCACACGAGAGUUUAGUAAACGCAUGCAAUGUAGACGGCCCGGUAAUCAAGUGAUGUGCGCAUGCGCAACACUCGUAUUCCUAAGCGUAAAACAUUAGUCUUUCGUACAACGAUAUUUCUCACACAUCUUUGUUGCUUCCCGCUGCGCCGCUGUUCGUUCUAUCGUUAUUCAUUUAUUUUUGUUCCUAUUUCAUAACUUCCAGCGUUGUGAAGUGUUACUAGUAACGUUUGUAUCAAAAUACAACACGCAUUACGUUUUUCGGUCUGCUAGUAGAGCAGCACGUGACUUCCCAGCCGCUACGUCACAAAAACUUACUCUCACGUAUAAUAAUUCUUCCCGUGUCGUCAUCAAACGUCAUCUGUACAUGUAAGCAUCUGAUAAUUUCUUUGCCGAAAAGGUACGGCAAGUAAUUUGCAUUUUUAAACAAAACAGUUCUGUGUAUGUGUGCCUUUCUUGCGUGCAGUCAGGACGGUUCCGCAAGUCAUUCCAUACAGACCUGGCGACAAGGGUUCAAUUCUCGAGAGGGCAGAAUUGUUUUCAUCUUUGUCUCCGUGGAAUGGUGCAAAAGAACACGAGCAACUUACAAUGGAUGGAGUCCACAACCAAAACGCGAAUGAUGUUAUCUGUCUUUCUUGUAUACUGGACUCUGAACUAUAACUAGAAAGAAGCAUGGGUGACGUCACUCGGACCGACUUCUGCGUGCGCAGUGCCACUACUAACCACCUCGCUACCUCGACGUUUUUAACGGCUCUCGUCCUAGUAACAAUUUAAAGCCGAACAGUAAUAACAUGUCCCACCUUCGUUUUCGUUCAGUAGAAGUUUUGCCCACAGAGUCGGUGCAAACAGAUAACAUUUCCCUGAUCAUCAACAAAACUGGUCCGUGUAAUGGCGACAUGCCAUGUUUUCUUUGAGAAUUUUCAAGAAUAUUUAACUGGAAAUGUGGUCGGCUCCCCAAGUGAGAUUGUAAAAAUGGAUCAUUCAUUUGAAAGAGUUUUAAAUGUUGCGGAUUCUCCGCAGUGUUUGUUGCCGUACUAUAUUUUCCAAACGGAGCAUUUAGGGGUUACAACAAAAAAACUGUUUUCCCUCUACAAGGAAUCGCUGCAAAUCAGCAGUAAUGACAAGUAGUAUAAUAUUUCGUUGUGACAUUCACGUGUUUAAUUCAAUGAUGUUCAAGCUUCAGCCGGAACUGGAAGAAACUUUGCGGUAGUUCGAGAUACCAACUGAAAUACUUUUUAAAACCUUGUCAAUAAACAACUGGUGUAACAAAAGCGCAAUAAGCAAACCGUCAAAGUGGAAUGAAAUCGGGGUAGGCUUCAACAAUCGCCCGGUAAUCGCCUCGCACAAAAAAUAAGGAGUAUGUGUAGGCCUGCCCCGUUCGCCAACCUUCCAAAUAAUACUUCGACACGCUGCCGAGACGACAUCUCGUUCAGUACUGCUCUGCAGAACGUCUAAUUACUAAAACUACUGCAUCGGAAUUACAAGAAAUCUAAAUGACAAACUGAAAUAGCAAGUUUCAUUUAGUGAACGGCUGAAGUAACUUUCAAUACUGUGUUGAUGCACUUGGGCCCCUUCAGUACACAGUCUACACUUUUCAAGGUUGUUUUAUCACACGCCUACUAGAUCCAGAAUAACGUAACUUUAUUUAUAUUAAAUCAAUGAACCUAUCAUAAUGUCACUUAAUUCACAUUUCCACGCAUGUCCUAAUACGGAAAAGAAAAUUACCUUCCCUGGUACAAAAACUAGACGACGCUCCCAACUUACGAGAGGAGGUGUUAAAUUUGCUGGGUGGAAUGUCAAUUAGCAGGAAUAUGGCAUCCAGUAGCUGCAAACAUGGAACGGAAAAGUACGGCUGUGCGCUUUGGGGGCCGAAAAGUUUCAUGUGAAAUAAAUUACAUUAGGGAAUAAGUGACUAGUGAUUAUCUGGUCGGUUGUAGUUAUAACGGCUACUUUAAAAUCAUGCAUAACACGUCUUAAAACAGAAAAAAAUAGUGUCAAAAUCUUUAUGUUUUGUAAAUUAGUUGUAAAAUGCAGCACUGUAGACUAAUUUAACUACUUGGCCAGACAUACGCAAUUGUUAACAAUGAAUUCUAAUAGCCAUUACAUACGAGGUGAAGGAAAAUGUUUUCAAGUUUAUAUAACGCUUCUUAUGUAAAAUUAUGUAUCCUCUGUCUUCUACUCUGUAAAAUAUUACGAAAUCCUAGCUUCCAAACUACCAUCAACAACAAAUUGUAAUUAAUUACUUUAUGUUAACAGCAACUACUCAAUUUUAAAAUGUCAAAGUAACUUAAAAUGUUUCCUUUCA
Molecule: non-coding RNA, 3334 nt
Organism: Zootermopsis nevadensis
Lineage: Eukaryota; Metazoa; Arthropoda; Insecta; Blattodea; Termopsidae
Source: RefSeq, a predicted model, not a curated record